CUUUAUUGAUGAGAGUGGCAAAGAAUACAACUAGCUUUCGAGAGGCUAGUCUCUCCAAUUUACAACCUUUUCGAGAGAGCUGCUCUCUCCUCUGAGUAAGACCCUUCUUUUUCCGAGCUACCCUUGCAAAUGAACCCCCCUAUCUAUUUAUAGGUAUUGGACAUCAUAACAUGAUGCCAACUAGGAUCCUAUAGAAUUAAUACAACUCAGCUCCCCCUAAAUAAAUGUCAACUAGAUAAAAGAAGGAGAUAAAAUACAAUUGAGUAACAAACAAAACAACCCUGCCCUUAGUUAUUUUGUGGCAUCCUAUUAUAAAAAAACUUAACUAGAGGCUUAUCAAUACCUCCCCUCCCCCAAAAAAAAAAAACGUUCACGUUGUCCUUAAGGUGAAACAGUGGAAAUUGGUCUUGGAUGGUGGCAAAUGGCUCCCAUGUAGAUUCAAAAUGUGCCAGGUUCUUCAAUAUAGUGAGGACUUCUGAAUGAAGAAUGGCAGAAGCAGUUGGGAAGUGAAGGUCUAAGAUAGCCUCAGGUUUCACUUGGAGUUCUAGCUCAGUAGUCAACUGAGGUGGGAUAGCGGACGUGGCUGGUGAAGACCCGAUGGCUCUAUAGAGUUGGCAGAUGUGGAACACGGGAUGAAUGUGAGCAUGGUCUGGCAGUUGGAGUUUGUAGGCAACUGAACCAACUUGUUGGAUGAUGGGAAAAGGCCCGUAGUAAUGCGCGGACAGCUUGUCAUUGGUACGUUUGGCAAGUGGCCUUUGGCGGUAAGGUCUUAGCUUGAGACAGACCUGUUCCCCAAUGGAAAACUCAUCUAGUCGUCUUUUCACAUCAGCUUGCAUCUUCAUGUGAUGUUGAGCUCGGAGGAGAUGCAUUCAGAGUUCACCAAAAAUUGCAUCACGAGAUUCGAGCAACUCAUUGACAGAUGACACUAUGGAAGUUCCUUUCCGAUUAGGUAUGAGUGGUGGUGGAUCUCUUCCGUAAAGGGCUCAGAAUAGGGUACUCUUCAAUGAAUUAUGGUAGAAGGUAUUGUUGGAAUACUCGGCCCAAGCAAGCCAGUUAGACCAGAGUUUCAGAAUGCUGGUAAGAAAAACACUUUAAGUAUGUUUCAAGGCAGCGUUUAGUACAUCCGAUUGCCAAUCAGUUUGUGGAUGGUAGGCAGUGCUUUUCUUUAGGGUAGUUCCUUGUAGCUUAAAGAUGACUCCAAAAUAAGCUAAGGAGGAUCCGGUCCCUAUUGCAGACAAUGGAUUGGGGAACUCCAUGUAGUCUAAUGACCUCAUGAAAACUUCAGCCAUUGUGAGAGCGGUAAAAGGAUGCUUCAGCUUUAUGAAAUGGGAAUAUUUGGAAAGGCAAUCCACUACCACCAAAAUGGUAUCCCAGCCCUCCGAUUUGGGAAGGCCCUCUAUAAAUUCCAUAGUCACCGGAUUUGAGAUCCAAUUUAGAUAAGAUUGGAGCACCAUUAAGUUCAUCCAAUAACUCAUUAAUAAUGGGUAUUGGAAACUUAUUUGGAAUGGUCACUCUAUUAAGAGCGCGGUAAUCAACACAAAAUUACCAUGAGCCAUCUUUCUUUUUGAGAAGAAGAAUCGGGCUUUAAAAUGGGCUGGUACUUGGCUGAAUUAUUCCCACAGGUAAUCGCAUGCAUGAGGGAACGGGCUGGGGGAAGGCCUUCAGGCAUAUCAAACACAUCAGUAAAAUCAGCAGGAAUUUGUGUAAAAAAUUAUGGUACUUGUCGACCCGAAUCGCUGGGGUCAUGGCUGGAGUAAGUGAACUCUAGGAUGCUGCCUUGUCUCUCUACUUGAAGAGUCCUUGCCGUUGUUUUUAGGGACACCAAAGAUCGAUCAAGUGAGGGGUCCCCUUUAAUUAACACCCUUCGUUUGCCAAGUUGGAACUCCAUUGUUUGUAGCUUCCAAUCUAUGUUAGUCAUGCCAAGUGUAGCCAACCAUUAGUUCUAACCAAUGCCUAUAUAUUCAGGGAGGAUCUUUCUGUGGGGGUAGCUUGAGAUUAGAUAGAGUUUACUCUAGUGGGAGAGACCAAUCCUCUCGAAAGAUUGGGAUAGGAGAGAACAAGCCUCUCGAAAGCUUGUAAUUUGUAUCAUUGCUACCGUUUCAAUAAAGAUCUUUGAGGGAUUCUUCA
Long non-coding RNA from Humulus lupulus (European hop), 2127 nucleotides. RefSeq lists it as uncharacterized. The transcript has 2 exons. Lineage: Eukaryota; Viridiplantae; Streptophyta; Magnoliopsida; Rosales; Cannabaceae. The record is from RefSeq and is a predicted model, not a curated record.